AGAAGGAAGCUUGCUUCUUUCAAAUCUAGUGGCAAACGGGUGAGUAACACGUAAACAACCUGCCUUGUACUGGGGGACAACAGUUGGAAACGACUGCUAAUACCGCAUAAGCGCACAGCAUCGCAUGAUGCAGUGUGAAAAACUCCGGUGGUAUAAGAUGGACCCGCGUUGGAUUAGCUAGUUGGUGAGGUAACGGCCCACCAAGGCGACGAUCCAUAGCCGACCUGAGAGGGUGAACGGCCACAUUGGGACUGAGACACGGCCCAAACUCC
Molecule: ribosomal RNA, 272 nt
Filed under: uncultured Eubacteriales bacterium
Lineage: Bacteria; Bacillati; Bacillota; Clostridia; Eubacteriales
Description: uncultured Clostridiales bacterium partial 16S ribosomal RNA
Rfam family: Bacterial small subunit ribosomal RNA
Source: RNAcentral